AGCGGGACGCGUUCAGCUUCGGGGACUUUUUCUUCCACAUGAUCGAAGCUUUCCUCUCGAAUUAGAGGCUUCGCGAGAUCCUUUUUAUUAGUGUAAGCGGUCAUCUUCACGUGGAUGCGACCGAUCGAAGACCUCGGCGAGUCGACGAAGAAUGGCGUACAUCGAUAACGGUGUUGUGAAGUCAAAGCGUACGAUAUGGCGGUUUAGUUUAAUAUCGGAUUUCUUCUGGGCCAUUGUAAACUUCUUUGGAGUAUUCUUUAUAACAAUGUUCUCGAUGGAGAAAUCGGAUCAGUACCAGAAAGGAUUGGGCUCUAGCAAGAAAUGGGAUGGUGGUCAUGGUGGAGGACCCGGAGGUGGUUCUGGAGGAGGUCCAUAUGGUGGUGGGCCCGGUGGCCGCCGUGGGCCAUAUACCUUGAGCGAUCUCCGGUCUAAUGACCAUAGUUCCCUUCCUGCUUGUGGUUCAUGCUGUGGCGGUUAACGUUGUGAUCCAGGGUUAUUGCUCAAACAACUUUAUGUUCUUAUAGGGAAAGGCUUUGUUCAAAAGUGACCCUCGUUUGGCACGACUUUGGCACGUGACGGACUACUUCAAUGAAGUACCCCAUCUGGGAAAAGCAUGAUGUUAAUAUUUUUCGGCCAUUGGAUGGGGAAGAAAAUGUUGGCCAUCAUGUCAUCGGCAUAGACUGCAUCAGAGCAAAAUGCAUUUCUUGAUUCCCAGGGUGGAAUUCCAAAUCUUUUGAUAUAGUUUUCCUAAGCAGAUAUAUGAUUGUCUUAAGGUGGUUGUUGAUUCAGUGACUGCAAAAUCUCAGCAUUGGAUGAGGCACAAGACUGCGUCUCAUCUUGCAAAAUUAUAAUAAUGUCUUUGGAGUUGUUUUGAGAAUUACAGCUUGUGGACUUGGGUUGUGUG
RNA transcript from Musa acuminata AAA Group (dessert banana), 904 nucleotides. RefSeq lists it as uncharacterized. Lineage: Eukaryota; Viridiplantae; Streptophyta; Magnoliopsida; Zingiberales; Musaceae. The transcript has 5 exons. The record is from RefSeq and is a predicted model, not a curated record.